GGACUACACGGGUUUCUAAUCCCGUUCGCUCCCCUAGCUUUCGCGCCUCAGCGUCAGAAGAGGUCCAGCACGCCGCUUUCGCCACCGGCGUUCCUUCCGAUAUCAACGCAUUUCACCGCUCCACCGGAAGUUCCGCAUGCCCCUACCUCCCUCGAGCCCGCCAGUAUCGGAGGCACUUUUCCGGUUAAGCCGAAAGAUUUCACCCCCGACUGGGCGGGCCGCCUACGCGCCCUUUAAGCCCAGUGAUUCCGAACAACGUUUGCACGGUUCGUCUUACCGCGGCUGCUGGCAC
This 292-nucleotide ribosomal RNA is filed under the name uncultured bacterium. Its description in RNAcentral is "partial 16S ribosomal RNA". The record is from RNAcentral. RNAcentral also lists the same sequence under 2 other names.